This 905-nucleotide ribosomal RNA is filed under the name Bacillus sp. (in: firmicutes). RNAcentral's name for it is "bacterial SSU rRNA". Lineage: Bacteria; Bacillati; Bacillota; Bacilli; Caryophanales; Bacillaceae. The record is from RNAcentral.
CUAUACAUGCAGUCGAGCGGACGACGGGAGCUUGCUCCCUUAGGUCAGCGGCGGACGGGUGAGUAACACGUGGGUAACCUGCCUGUAAGACUGGGAUAACUCCGGGAAACCGGGGCUAAUACCGGAUGCUUGAUUGAACCGCAUGGUUCAAUCAUAAAAGGUGGCUUUUAGCUACCACUURCAGAUGGACCCGCGGCGCAUUAGCUAGUUGGUGAGGUAACGGCUCACCAAGGCGACGAUGCGUAGCCGACCUGAGAGGGUGAUCGGCCACACUGGGACUGAGACACGGCCCAGACUCCUACGGGAGGCAGCAGUAGGGAAUCUUCCGCAAUGGACGAAAGUCUGACGGAGCAACGCCGCGUGAGUGAUGAAGGUUUUCGGAUCGUAAAACUCUGUUGUUAGGGAAGAACAAGUACCGUUCGAAUAGGGCGGCACCUUGACGGUACCUAACCAGAAAGCCACGGCUAACUACGUGCCAGCAGCCGCGGUAAUACGUAGGUGGCAAGCGUUGUCCGGAAUUAUUGGGCGUAAAGCGCGCGCAGGCGGUUUCUUAAGUCUGAUGUGAAAGCCCCCGGCUCAACCGGGGAGGGUCAUUGGAAACUGGGGAACUUGAGUGCAGAAGAGGAGAGUGGAAUUCCACGUGUAGCGGUGAAAUGCGUAGAGAUGUGGAGGAACACCAGUGGCGAAGGCGACUCUCUGGUCUGUAACUGACGCUGAGGCGCGAAAGCGUGGGGAGCGAACAGGAUUAGAUACCCUGGUAGUCCACGCCGUAAACGAUGAGUGCUAAGUGUUAGAGGGUUUCCGCCCUUUAGUGCUGCAGCAAACGCAUUAAGCACUCCGCCUGGGGAGUACGGUCGCAAGACUGAAACUCAAAGGAAUUGACGGGGCCCGCACAAGCGGUGGAG